This 200-nucleotide ribosomal RNA is filed under the name Schmidingerella taraikaensis. RNAcentral's name for it is "partial Bacterial large subunit ribosomal RNA". It matches the Rfam family "Bacterial large subunit ribosomal RNA", at positions 1 to 172 of the family's 2925-position model. Lineage: Eukaryota; Ciliophora; Spirotrichea; Tintinnida; Rhabdonellidae. The record is from RNAcentral.
CGAAAAGGGCGUUUGGUGGAUGCCUUGGCAGUAAGAGGCGAUGAAGGACGUGAUACUCUGCGAUAAGCUAGGGGGAGCCGAGAAUAGGCUUUGAUCCCUGGAUCUCCGAAUGGGGCAACCCACCUGACAGUUUGAUAUAAUUGCCUUCGGGCAGCUUAUAUCUUGCUGAAACAGGUACUUAUUACCUGAACACAUAGGGU